GUUUGCAUUUUGCAGAACAAAAGCAAUCUUUGGAAAUCAGUCAUUUAACUAUCAUAAUAAAGCAAUGUUAUCUUCUUUUCACAGAUGGGAGAACUGAAGGAGCAGAGUUGUGAAGUUAUCUGCUCAAAGGAGGCCAGUGACAAAUCCAGGAAUAGAAGCCAAGUCUUCUAAGUUGCAGCUUAAUGCCAUCUAAUACUGUAAUCAACAAGAAAGUUUGCCUUCUGAUGUUACAAUGAGGAUGAACCCCCAAGGCACGUCUGCAAUAGUUGUUUGAAACAAGAAACAGCCUCUUGAUGUCGUUCAUUUCACUGAUCACUGGGAAUCUGAGCCUGAAUGAAGAUUGGUUAUUCAUACUUCCUGGCAGUGGUUAUAAGAGGAGGAUGACUGAGAAUUUGGUAGCCCCUCUCACCAGCCCGACAUUUGGGUCACCUCCACACAUGCCUCCUGCCUGCAGACACCUGGUGGGAUUGACGUCAUUUGAGGCCGAGGAGAGUGGUUAG
RNAcentral lists this long non-coding RNA (500 nucleotides) under Calidris pygmaea (Spoon-billed sandpiper). RNAcentral's name for it is "lncRNA (ENSCPGG00000018883.1)". The record is from RNAcentral. Lineage: Eukaryota; Metazoa; Chordata; Aves; Charadriiformes; Scolopacidae.